UUGGGAGCUCACUGGCUUCGGAGUCAUGGGAACUCCGAAGUUAACUGAGUUUGGGCUAGAACAAUCCCAGGAUGGGUGACCCACUGAGAAGUUUCUCGUGAGUUCCCAGA
RNAcentral lists this ribosomal RNA (110 nucleotides) under Prunus dulcis (almond). The record is from RNAcentral. Lineage: Eukaryota; Viridiplantae; Streptophyta; Magnoliopsida; Rosales; Rosaceae.